GAUGAACGCUGGCGGCGUGCUUAACACAUGCAAGUCGAACGAAGCACCUUGAUUUGAUUCUUCGGAUGAAGUUCUUGGUGACUGAGUGGCGGACGGGUGAGUAACGCGUGGGUAACCUGCCUCAUACAGGGGGAUAACAGUUAGAAAUGACUGCUACUACCGCAUAAGACCACAGCACCGCAUGGUGCAGGGGUACAAACUCCGGUGGUAUGAGAUGGACCCGCGUCUGAUUAGGUAGUUGGUGGGGUAACGGCCUACCAAGCCGACGAUCAGUAGCCGACCUGAGAGGGUGACCGGCCACAUUGGGACUGGGACACGGCCCAAACUCCUACGGGAGGCAGCAGUGGGGAAUAUUGCACAAUGGGGGAAACCCUGAUGCAGCGACGCCGCGUGAGCGAUGAAGUAUUUCGGUAUGUAAAGCUCUAUCAGCAGGGAAGAAAAUGACGGUACCUGACUAAGAAGCACCGGCUAAAUACGUG
This 479-nucleotide ribosomal RNA is filed under the name uncultured bacterium. Its description in RNAcentral is "partial 16S ribosomal RNA". It matches the Rfam family "Bacterial small subunit ribosomal RNA", at positions 28 to 507 of the family's 1533-position model. The record is from RNAcentral.